ACGCGAAGAACCUUACCUGGUCUUGACAUCCACAGAACUUUCCAGAGAUGGAUUGGUGCCUUCGGGAACUGUGAGACAGGUGCUGCAUGGCUGUCGUCAGCUCGUGUUGUGAAAUGUUGGGUUAAGUCCCGCAACGAGCGCAACCCUUAUCCUUUGUUGCCAGCGGUUCGGCCGGGAACUCAAAGGAGACUGCCAGUGAUAAACUGGAGGAAGGUGGGGAUGACGUCAAGUCAUCAUGGCCCUUACGACCAGGGCUACACACGUGCUACAAUGGCAUAUACAAAGAGAAGCGACCUCGCGAGAGCAAGCGGACCUCAUAAAGUAUGUCGUAGUCCGGAUUGGAGUCUGCAACUCGACUCCAUGAAGUCGGAAUCGCUAGUAAUCGUAGAUCAGAAUGCUACGGUGAAUACGUUCCCGGGCCUUGUACACACCGCCCGUCACACCAUGGGAGUGGGUUGCAAAAGAAGUAGGUAGCUUAACCUUCGGGAGGGCGCUUACCACUUUGUGAUUCAUGACUGGGGUGAAGUCGUAACAAGGUAACCGUAGGGGAACCUGCGGUUGGAUCACCUCCUUACCUUAAAGAA
This 584-nucleotide ribosomal RNA is filed under the name Klebsiella pneumoniae. RNAcentral describes it as "bacterial SSU rRNA". It matches the Rfam family "Bacterial small subunit ribosomal RNA", at positions 959 to 1533 of the family's 1533-position model. The record is from RNAcentral. Lineage: Bacteria; Pseudomonadati; Pseudomonadota; Gammaproteobacteria; Enterobacterales; Enterobacteriaceae.